AGAAAACAGAGGGCUGAAUUUUUAAAGUUUCGUCUCCACAGAGUGAUAAGGUCAUGGCUGGAUAGUACUAGCGAGUUGACUUCUAAUUGCAAGUCAUUGUUAUUCAUUUUCCUUUACAAGAAAUAGCAGAAACCUCAGAAUGAGAUGUGCAUUUUCUGAUCUAUCUGAUCCCAUUCUUGGAUUCCAAAGAACGAGGAGAAAAAUCUCUGUGUGCAUAUGCAUAUCUGAAGAAUUGUUUCAGUUAUAUGAAGGCAUAUAUAUCAGAUGAUAGACAAGAUAACAAGAUGCAUACAGCUUAGCUAGGUUCAAAUCUUACCAACGGAAAAAUACAGGAUAUAGAUAUUUACUUUUGGGUUAGAACACUUGAAGAACCUACAAGUUGCCUUUAUUUUGCUUUCUAAAUUUAUAAUUCUAUGAAGGACUUCAUCAAUAUUUGGACGCUCAGACAUUGUAGGAUGGAGACAGUCCAAUCCAAGUUUUGUAAUUGCAAUUGCAGCCAAUUUGGAGCACCCAGUGGUUGUUAAUUUUUGAUGAACUGCAUGUCCUUUGGCAGAGUGAAUUGUGCUCGCCCAGUGAGUAAUAUGCCAGGGAACGCUAGAUCCUGGAAAUGAGACGACCUUCUCCUUCAUAAUUAGCUGCAAUAUCAUCACUCCCAAGCUGUAUAUGUCAUUUGGCUUGGUUCCAGUUAUUGUAACUGAAAAGAGAAGAAAUGCAAUUAAAGAGUUGAUGGUGUUCAAUUAUGAAGAAAAUUCUUACAAUCAGCUGGCAGGCAGAAGGCAGAGUUGAAAAAUAGCACACAACACAGCAUGAAACAAAGAAAAUCAGUCAAGAAAUUGCAAGAAAAACAAGAUCAAAGUGUUUGUGAGCGAAAUGUCUCACCUGCCAUUGAAGCCUGGUUUUUGUAUCUAUUUGGCGAGAGACCUUGACAGCUACUAGCAUACCAUUAUAGUUUCCAAGAUAAACACUGCCAAAUCCUCCAUGCCCAAGCAAAUUUUUUGCACUAAACCCAUUAGUGUAUGCACUUAACUCGGACGAGCUAAACGAUAUCACAGCAGCUGAAUCUGUAAAAACAUGAAUUAUUCAACUAUUUUAUAUUUUAAGAAAAUCCCAUAGCUAGUUAGCGAGGAAAAAUUGUUUGUAUUCAUUUCAAACAUCUGCAACGCCCUUGAUGUAAUGGAGAAGGAGAGAGAUAGAGAAAGAAGAAAAAAUAAGAACAAUUAAUCAUUACCACCUUCAGUACUGAUACGAUCUGCAUAUCGACUACAACAACUCAAGGAAUUACCCAUUUCUAGCAAAAAGUUCUCCUGUUACACUGCUUCAGAAUUGCUUACAGUGGCAGAGGAAGGCAUUGAAGUAGAAGAGUAAGAAAUGGAAAAUUUUUUUAAGCAAAUUAUUUUGAUUAAGAACUUAGUGUAAGACAAAAUGGUGCCAUUUCAUAACAUUCCAGUCCCUGAAAUUUGUUGUUACGUGCACAAGAAGCUUGGAAUAUGGCGCCAAUUUUUAUCAGGGGAUAUCUAUGUGUGUUUAGUAUAUCAGUAGGCUUUGGAUUUUACUAGUCAGAACAAGAGAGGACUGGGAUUGAUGUUGGUUCCAUUGGUGGACGGCUCUUUCUAUGUGGAUGGGAGAAGAAAAAUGUAAGUGGAGAACGUAGGGCCCAAGAAUUGGAAGGAAAGAAUAAUUUUGAAAGAAAGCGCAGGGUGGAAUUGCGAGGAAGGACCUUUUGGAGAGAGUGACAAGUUUCGUCUCCAUAUAGGGAUAAGGUCAUGGCUAGAUAGUGCUAGCGAGUUGACUACAAAUUCGAAGUCAAUAUUAUACGUUUUCCUUUGCAGGAAAUAACAGAAACCUUAGAAUCAGAUAUGCAUUUUCUGAUCUAUCUGAUCCCAACAAUGGAUUCCAAAGAAAGAGGAGAAAAAUCUGUAAGUUGGGUCUUUCUAGCUGUAAAAGGAUAUAAAUUUUAUGUUGAAAUUGUUCCUAGCUAGUUCAAUUUGAUUUCUUGAUUUUAUUU
Molecule: long non-coding RNA, 2005 nt
Organism: Hevea brasiliensis (rubber tree)
Lineage: Eukaryota; Viridiplantae; Streptophyta; Magnoliopsida; Malpighiales; Euphorbiaceae
Exons: 5
Source: RefSeq, a predicted model, not a curated record